GUCAAAUUCUAUAGAAGGCGCGAUUGUGCGAAGUAGAGGCGAGCGAUCCUCUUCCUUUCGUUCCACCACCGACGGUCAAGAGAGGUCAAGGGUGUCCCUUCCUUCGGUCAUCAUCCACCUGUCACCAGCCGACAACGCCACCUCAACCAUCUAAACGCUAAUUCUGUCACGACUUUGUGCGAGGAAGAAGAAGCAUAGAAGGUGGAGGAAUUUGGUGGUUCCAGCCGAUUCCCUCUCCUUCAGGCCAGCGAUCAUCCUCCGCCGAAGCUCCGAUCAUGUCUAGGACUUGAGAGUGUUUCUUGCUGUAUACUUCUUAUUUUGAUGCUGCUGAUUGAUUCUGCCAGAUCCAGAGCUCAUCUGAUUGGAUCAAUUCUUCGCCGAUUGCAAGAUCUUGACAUCUUUGUCAAGAUCAACGAGUGCUUGGGGAUUCCCAGCUCACCUUGGUUCAUCACUUUUCCUUUUUGAUUUCUGCAUUUCUGUUCUUCCAAAUUUCCAGCUUCGUUCUUGUUUUCUUUACUGUUUAGUUUCAUUGGCUCGAGUUGUUAGGGUUAGAUGAAGGUUUAGAUCUGUUUUCUUGCCUUCAAUUCAACUGAAUGUUUGCUGAUUCCUUGAGUAGAGAUAUGAUCCAAUGUUUGUGCAUGGUUCUUAAGAUGAAUUCAGCUACUGUUAUCUGAAUUCGAGUUCUAUUUUCAGUAAUGGAUUAAGUUUGGUUGCUCUUGUUCUGCUUUUGUUUAGUUUUAAAUAUACUUAGAUCUAUUAAUGGUGUAAUCUAUAACAUAGAGUGACAAUAUGUUAUGGGCUCAUGAUUAAUAGAUAGUUAGGAUUUCUUUUAUUGCAUUAGAUUUAGUUUCAUUAAAUGCUUUGCUAUUUCAUUCCUUAGUUUAGCUCCAUUUAUGGUGAAAUCAUAGCGUAAAGUGACAAUAUGUUGUGGGAUCACUAUUAAUGGGUAGAUAAGAUAAUGUUUAUUUCAUUAGAUUAAAUUGCAUACGUGUUUUGCUAUCUCAUUUGUUAGGUUUAUAAUCAAAACUCAAAACCCCCAUUACUAUAUCAAAAACCCAAAGAUUACAAACAAAUUAAUCUUAAGAUACCACCAUUGCCACAUUCAUUGGGAGACGGCCCGAAUCAUAUCUAUGCUACAUUAGUAUAGAAUGAAUUCUGUCACUUAAUUUUUUUUAUAUCCAUUUCACAAAAAAAAUCGGGUUUAUCAAAAUUGGCGUCGUUGUCGGGGAAUGUUAGCGGUGUUUGAUAAUCUUAGGAUUGUUCUCUAUUUUGAAAAAAAAAAAUUGUUUGAGUGUUUUCAUGUUUAUAUAUCCAUGUGUUUGAUUUAAUAUGUUCCUUGUGUCUUCUGAUCUUAUCUGCUAGUAUUUCAGUGUAAGAAUAUGACAUUUCUUUGAUCAUGGAUCCAUAUUAUCAACAUUUUGAAGGUGAGAUGGAGAGUCAGUAUUAUCAGCCUAAUCAACCUCAAUACUAUCAUCCUGAGCCUCAGUAUUAUCAUCCUUAGAUUCAGUAUUAUCAACCCGAACCUUAAUAUUAUCCACCCAUAGAGCAGCCAAAUAUGUAUUAGUUAUUUCAAAAUUCAUAUAAUUCUAAUUGAGUGGAUCAAUCACAUUUUAGGUAUGAGGAUACACAAGGAUAAUUUCCUGAGCUAUAUCCAACAUAUCAGAGUCCACAGGGAUUUCAUGAUGAGUAUAUGCCUACUUGGCCACUUUCAGUCCAGUAGGGUGAUCUAGCUCCUUGGACUACAUUUUAAGAUGAAGUUCAUGCCCCUAAUUCAACACAAGACCUUCGGGAGAUUAUCUAACUAAUGAUAGAGUAUCAAAAGUAAUAAUUUGUAGAGAUACAAAAUUUACAGAUACAAGUAGACCAAUUUGCAUCAUCCGUUAGCCAGCAACACGCACCAUACUUCAAUGAGAAGAGGGAUUGUAGUGUUUUUGAUAGACCUGAUAUUGUCUCCAUUACUCCAUAGGACUCCUCUAGUAUUUCUUGUUGUGAUGCUGCAGUUGUAAGAAUUUCUGACUCUAUUGAUACUGUUGUUGUAGAUGUUGUUGAUGAUGUAGAUACUGAUGUUGAUGAUGAGGAGAGUGUAGGGGAUUGCAUAGUAGAAGCAAUACCCCAAGAAUCACUUUUUCCAGUUGUACAAUCACCUAAACUAGGUAUUGAUGAUAUAAGUGUAGGGGAUUGCACAUUGAGGCAAUACCCCAAGAACCACCUGAACCGGAGCGUAAACCACUACUUGAGGAUGAGGAGGUCACAGUCACCAUUCUAGAAUCUCCAUGUACCUUUCAACAUGACAAGGAGAUUAUAAGCUCCCGGAGUGGUUACUCCAACUGAACCGCCUUCAACCUUCAGGGAGUAUUUUCAAGAGGAAUAUGGUGAAGGGAGAGGUCAUUACUUCAAAUGCAAUGAUUCCACUCCCAACUUGGAUUUUGUUUCUUAACCGACUCCAACCACCGGGAAGGACCAUUUCAAUGCCGGCGUGGAUGCUACUUCUAAAUUGUUUGCAACCAUCCGAAAUAAAGGGGAGUUCGUUCCUUGCUUUUCUUUUUUUACUUUACACUUUCUUCUACUUUCAUACUUUACAUUUGUAUUUUGCUUAAUACUUUGCACUUUGUUUGGUCUACAUAGCAUUUCAUUUGAAUAAAAUUCUCCAUGAAAUUGUUCUA
Zingiber officinale is the source of this 2663-nucleotide long non-coding RNA. RefSeq lists it as uncharacterized. The record is from RefSeq and is a predicted model, not a curated record. The transcript is spliced from 2 exons. NCBI's taxonomy places the organism in Eukaryota, Viridiplantae, Streptophyta, Magnoliopsida, Zingiberales, Zingiberaceae.